CAGUCGCCGCGGGAAAACGAAGGGUGCAAGCGUUACUCGGAAUUACUGGGCGUAAAGCGUGCGUAGGUGGUGGUUUAAGUCCGUUGUGAAAGCCCUGGGCUCAACCUGGGAAUUGCAGUGGAUACUGGGUCACUAGAGUGUGGCAGAGGAUAGUGGAAUUUCCGGUGUAGCAGUGAAAUGCGUAGAGAUCGGAAGGAACAUCUGUGGCGAAGGCGACUAUCUGGGCCAACACUGACACUGAGGCACGAAAGCGUGGGGAGCAAACAGGAUUAGAUACCCCCGUAGUCCCUGUCUCUUAUAC
RNAcentral lists this ribosomal RNA (301 nucleotides) under uncultured bacterium. RNAcentral describes it as "partial 16S ribosomal RNA". It matches the Rfam family "Bacterial small subunit ribosomal RNA", at positions 509 to 807 of the family's 1533-position model. The record is from RNAcentral.